RNAcentral lists this ribosomal RNA (253 nucleotides) under uncultured bacterium. Its description in RNAcentral is "partial 16S ribosomal RNA". It matches the Rfam family "Bacterial small subunit ribosomal RNA", at positions 524 to 776 of the family's 1533-position model. The record is from RNAcentral.
GACAGAGGCCCCAAGCGUUAGGCGGAAUCACUGGGCUUAAAGCGUGUGUAGGCGGAUCGUUAAGUGUCUUGUGAAAUCCCACGGCUCACCCGUGGAGCUGCUGGGCAUACUGGCGAUCUUGGGCCAACUAGGGGCAGUCGGAACAAGCGGUGGAGCGGUGAAAUGCGUAGAUAUCGCUUGGAACGCCGAAGGUGAAAACAGACUGCUGGGGUUGCGCCGACGCUGAGACACGAAAGCCAGGGGAGCAAACGGG